GACGAACGCUGGCGGCGUGCUUAACACAUGCAAGUCGAACGGAAAGGCCCUGCUUUUGUGGGUUGCUCGAGUGGCGAACGGGUGAGUAACACGUGAGUAACCUGCCCUUGACUUUGGGAUAACUUCAGGAAACUGGGGCUAAUACCGGAUAGGAUCUCCUGCUGCAUGGUGGGGGUUGGAAAGUUUCGGCGGCUGGGGAUGGACUCGCGGCUUAUCAGCUUGUUGGUGGGGUAGUGGCUUACCAAGGCUUUGACGGGUAGCCGGCCUGAGAGGGUGACCGGCCACAUUGGGACUGAGAUACGGCCCAGACUCCUACGGGAGGCAGCAGUGGGGAAUAUUGCACAAUGGGCGGAAGCCUGAUGCAGCAACGCCGCGUGCGGGAUGACGGCCUUCGGGUUGUAAACCGCUUUCGCCUGUGACGAAGCGUGAGUGACGGUAAUGGGUAAAGAAGCACCGGCUAACUACGUG
RNAcentral lists this ribosomal RNA (468 nucleotides) under uncultured bacterium. RNAcentral's name for it is "partial 16S ribosomal RNA". It matches the Rfam family "Bacterial small subunit ribosomal RNA", at positions 28 to 507 of the family's 1533-position model. The record is from RNAcentral.